This is a non-coding RNA of Schistosoma mattheei, 46 nucleotides long. Lineage: Eukaryota; Metazoa; Platyhelminthes; Trematoda; Strigeidida; Schistosomatidae. The record is from Rfam.
GUACUGCUGAGGAGUCCCAUGAUAAGACGAAACGGACGUCCAGUGA